AGAGUGAACGCUGGCGGUAGGCCUAACACAUGCAAGUCGAACGGCAGCACAGUAGGAGCUUGCUCUUACGGGUGGCGAGUGGCGGACGGGUGAGGAAUACAUCGGAAUCUACCUUUUGGUGGGGGAUAACGUAGGGAAACUUACGCUAAUACCGCAUACGCCCUUCGGGGGAAAGCCGGGGACCAGCAAUGGCCUGGUGCUGAUAGAUGAGCCGAUGUCGGAUUAGCUAGUUGGUGAGGUAAUGGCUCACCAAGGCGACGAUCCGUAGCUGGUCUGAGAGGAUGAUCAGCCACACUGGAACUGAGACACGGUCCAGACUCCUACGGGAGGCAGCAGUGGGGAAUAUUGGACAAUGGGCGCAAGCCUGAUCCAGCCAUACCGCGUGGGGUCGAAGGAAGG
This 399-nucleotide ribosomal RNA is filed under the name uncultured soil bacterium. Its description in RNAcentral is "bacterial SSU rRNA". It matches the Rfam family "Bacterial small subunit ribosomal RNA", at positions 26 to 414 of the family's 1533-position model. The record is from RNAcentral.